AACGAACGCUGGCGGCAUGCCUAACACAUGCAAGUCGAACGAGACCUUCGGGUCUAGUGGCGCACGGGUGCGUAACGCGUGGGAACCUGCCCUUAGGUUCGGAAUAACUCCCCGAAAGGGGUGCUAAUACCGGAUAAUGUCUUCGGACCAAAGAUUUAUCGCCUUUGGAUGGGCCCGCGUUGGAUUAGCUAGUUGGUAGGGUAAAAGCCUACCAAGGCGACGAUCCAUAGCUGGUCUGAGAGGAUGAUCAGCCACACUGGGACUGUGACACGGCCCAGACUCCUACGGGAGGCAGCAGUGGGGAAUAUUGGACAAUGGGCGAAAGACUGAUCCAGCAAUGCCGCGUGAGUGAUGAAGGCCUUAGGGUUGUAAAGCUCUUUUACCCGGGAUGAUAAUGACAGUACCGGGAGAAUAAGCGCCGGCUAACUCCGUG
RNAcentral lists this ribosomal RNA (433 nucleotides) under uncultured bacterium. RNAcentral describes it as "partial 16S ribosomal RNA". It matches the Rfam family "Bacterial small subunit ribosomal RNA", at positions 29 to 507 of the family's 1533-position model. The record is from RNAcentral.